CUACGGAGGGUGCAAGCGUUAUUCGGAAUCACUGGGCGUAAAGGACGCGUAGGCGGGUUGGCAAGUCAGAUGUGAAAUCCUACAGCUUAACUGUAGAACUGCAUUUGAAACUGCUAACCUAGAGUAUGGGAGGGGGAGAUGGAAUUAGUGGUGUAGGGGUAAAAUCCGUAGAUAUCACUAGGAAUACCGAAAGCGAAGGCGAUCUCCUGGAACAUAACUGACGCUAAGGCGUGAAAGCGUGGGGAGCAAACAGAAUUAGAAACCCCAGUAGUCC
This 274-nucleotide ribosomal RNA is filed under the name uncultured bacterium. Its description in RNAcentral is "partial 16S ribosomal RNA". It matches the Rfam family "Bacterial small subunit ribosomal RNA", at positions 523 to 796 of the family's 1533-position model. The record is from RNAcentral.